AACGUGCGCUGGCGGCAGGCUUAACACAUGCAAGUCGAGCGCCCCGCAAGGGAGCGGCAGACGGGUGAGUAACACGUGGGAACAUACCCUUUACUACGGAACAACUCCGGGAAACUGGAGCUAAUACCGUAUGUGCCCUUUGGGGGAAAGAUUUAUCGGUAAAGGAUUGGCCCGCGUUGGAUUAGCUAGUUGGUGGGGUAAAGGCCUACCAAGGCGACGAUCCAUAGCUGGUCUGAGAGGAUGAUCAGCCACAUUGGGACUGAGACACGGCCCAAACUCCUACGGGAGGCAGCAGUGGGGAAUAUUGGACAAUGGGCGCAAGCCUGAUCCAGCCAUGCCGCGUGAGUGAUGAAGGCCUUAGGGUUGUAAAGCUCUUUCCCCGAUGAAGAUAAUGACGGUAGUCGGAGAAGAAGCCCCGGCUAGCUUCGUGCCAGCCGCCGCUGUAA
Molecule: ribosomal RNA, 446 nt
Filed under: uncultured bacterium
Lineage: Bacteria
Description: partial 16S ribosomal RNA
Rfam family: Bacterial small subunit ribosomal RNA
Source: RNAcentral